CGGAGUGAUGUCACCCCCCCCACCCCCGUCCUAUCUGCGUGGAGUGGCUGAGUGUCCUGGGGCGUGCGGUGGCACCGCUUCACCCUUCAGCAGCGGCGUGGUUCCUAGUGGCGGAGACGACCGUAGCAGGACGCGGUUCCUCCAUGAGAUAUUGAAGAAGGAUAAAAAGCUCCUCAAAAGUUUGGAAGGUUUAAUGUGAUCAGCAUGAAGAGCUUAAAAGCAAAAUUCAGGAAGAGUGAUACCAAUGAGUGGAAUAAGAACGAUGAUCGGCUGCUGCAGGCAGUGGAGAAUGGCAAUCCUGAGAAAGUGGCUUCAUUGCUGGGUAAAAAGGGAGCCAGUGCCACCAAACAAGAUAGUGAGGGCAAAACUGCGUAAGUCCAACUUAAACUUGUGAUUUAAGCACAAGGGAGGGUGAAAAAACAGCCUUGGAUGUACAUGCGACUUACAGGAAUUAAGAACCAGAGACCAUCCUGAAAAUGAAGUUUUCUUUUUCACCUGAAGCACAGUACGUUCUGGAAAGCUUCUUUCUGAUAGUCUACAUUUAAAAUUCCAUUUCAGAAUCACAAACCCAUUGAAGUAACUUGAAGCUGGAUUGCUGGGUAGAUUGGGGCCAUUUUAGGACAGGGCAUUUUGGGACUUGGGACUUUCAUGGCACACUGCAGACUGUGCGCUCCAAAAGGCAUUAAUCUUUGGGGCUAUUUUUUCCCAUGAACAUUAGUUUAAUGACAUGGAAAUGAAGAUAAAUGGGUUAGUUCGAACUGAAACUAUGGUGAUUGGGUUUUAAAAUCUUGCAGAUGCUAAUGAUUCGUGCAACUGUUCCUUGUUUUGAUUGAAGCUUGGCAGUGAAAGUUUUGAGUGAACGAGACUCCUUUUGCAGUCUCAAUAUAUUUCAUACAUAGCAUUUUCUUCUUCUGUUCUUCUUCUUGUUCUCCUGUGAACAUUCUGAAUUGUGGAAGAUAAAAGAUACCAGUAAGAAAAUUACAGCCAAGAGAUUGCUAUCCUUAACUUUCUUAUGGCAUAGAAAGAUGAUUAAAUGGAUAAAUGAGAAAUAGGCAUCCCGUGUGUCAUGGUAUAAGCCCAUCCAGUAACAAAGCACCACGAAGCUGCUCGCUCACUCCUCCCCCUGCCGGCCCCGG
Molecule: long non-coding RNA, 1136 nt
Organism: Aquila chrysaetos chrysaetos
Lineage: Eukaryota; Metazoa; Chordata; Aves; Accipitriformes; Accipitridae
Exons: 3
Source: RefSeq, a predicted model, not a curated record